This 253-nucleotide ribosomal RNA is filed under the name uncultured bacterium. RNAcentral describes it as "partial 16S ribosomal RNA". It matches the Rfam family "Bacterial small subunit ribosomal RNA", at positions 524 to 776 of the family's 1533-position model. The record is from RNAcentral.
UACGAGAGCCUCGAGCGUUAUCCGGAAUUAUUGGGCGUAAAGGGUGAGUAGGUGGUGCUAUUAGUCGAAUGUUAAAUCCCCGAGCUUAACUUGGGAACCGCGUUCGAAACGGUAGUACUUGAGAUGAGGAGGGGUGUACAGAACUCAAGGUGUAGGGGUGAAAUCCGUUGAUAUCUUGGGGAAUACCAAAAGCGAAGGCAGUACACUGGCCUCAAUCUGACACUGAAUCACGAAAGCGUGGGUAGCGAAUGGG